GCCCGCCGGGGGCUCGCGCCAGCCACGAGGGAGCGUCCGCGGCCCGCGCGCCCGCGCGGCGGAGGAGAGGUGUUAAGUGUGAUGCUUCCAUAAUACAUUUGGAUGCUGUCAGCUAAGUUCACUUCUGAACUAAGGGGUUCCUCCAAAUGUUGGCUGAAAUUCAUCCCAAGGCUGGUCUGCAAAGUCUGCAAUUCAUAAUGGAGCUACUGUACUGGCUAUUGGAAGGAGGAGAUUCUGAAGAUAAGGAGGUAAAACCUGUUUAGAAAUUAAAAAUGAGUUACGAUUUAAAGAAAAUUCAGAUGACUCAUUGUGAGUGCUAGUUCUCUUGUAGGAUGCCACUGGAAAUGUUGAAAUGAAAAAUAUUCAGCCGUUGGUCUUUGAAAUUUCCUGUGAUGUGUUUCAAUCUAGAUGCAAAGAACAUGGAAAAAUCAAAGUGCUCGAGUGGUUUAAAUAUGUUUUGGGUAUUCCUGUUUAUAGACUAUAAUACUUUUCCAAUUAAAAUCCUCAGUUGUCACGCAGAAGAAGGUUAAGCUGUAUUUGAUUGCCAGUUUUACUGAAAAUGCUUAGUAUUUUACAGUAUCACCAAAUAUAUUUUGUUUAGCCAAGGUAUAGGAAAAAUAAAAUAAAUUGUAUAGGUUGACUUUUUUCUAAAAUGUCUUUAUUGGAUUGAAUGAAUGUUUAUACCUGAAAAAAAAAGGUUCAAAAAAAUUCCUUUUUCUAUCAGAGUCAUUCUUUUGACAAUCAGAUAUUAGACUAGGUUUAAAAUAACUUUCUAAUAUGACUCAUAUUUAUGGGAGGAAAAAGACUUGAAAGAUAUUCCUAUGUGUACUUUAAUUUUCUGUAAUAGUCCCUCUGGAAUAGAAUAUCUCUUCCUCAAACAAAUCUAUUGGCUCAUUUCAUAUACAAGAAAAAGUUGCCCUAAAUGGCAGAGUUUCAUCUCUGUAAAGAAGGCUGACAUCCACUUCCUUCACAGAAUCCCUGCAUUUGGGUAAUUGAGUAAUGAUAGAUUACCUUGCCAUUGGGAAAUACCUUGUUGUGGCCUUUGUAGCAGCUAUAGGAAGAUGGAAGAAUUCUUUUGUAUAGACAGGUCUCUAGCCUCUUUGGUGUGGACACUGUGAAGGGGUACAUCUGGUGAGAAGGAGUGCUUAGGGAAGGAACUGGGAAGGUCCACAAAGGCUGAUGAUGACAAAGAAUCCAAGGGCUAUGAUGAAUUCUUAAGCUUAGAUCUCAGAGUCAUAAAGUAAAUUUAUUAGGCUAGAGAGAUUUCCUUUUUUAUUUUUGAUCAAACUUUAUUUUUUCAGAUUGUUAAGUUCACAUGCAGUUGUACAAAAUAAUACAGAGAUCUUUGAACACUACCCAGUUUCUCCUAAUAGUAACUUCUUGCAAUAUACUGUAUAGCACAGCAUCACAACCUGGAUACUGACAUUGAUGCAGUCAAGACAGAGAACAUUUAUAUCAUGAGGAGGAUCCCUCAUUACCGCCCUUUGAUAUCCACCCCUACUUCCAGACCAUCUCACUCCUCCCUUAACCCUGGCAACCACUAGCAUGUUCUCCAUUUCUAUAAAUUUGCCUUUAUAGGAAUGUUAUAUAAUUGCAAUUAAAG
This 1603-nucleotide long non-coding RNA is filed under the name Homo sapiens (human). RNAcentral's name for it is "HSALNT0386195". Lineage: Eukaryota; Metazoa; Chordata; Mammalia; Primates; Hominidae. The record is from RNAcentral.